Molecule: long non-coding RNA, 1530 nt
Organism: Rosa rugosa (rugosa rose)
Lineage: Eukaryota; Viridiplantae; Streptophyta; Magnoliopsida; Rosales; Rosaceae
Exons: 3
Source: RefSeq, a predicted model, not a curated record
UAUAUGUGCAAUGCCACGUGGUGAUUUGAGUGUGGGUUGCUUGAGGCAAUUGUUGUGUUGUAAUUUUGAGAAAUGAUGCGGUGAAGGAAUGUCAUGUUGAUGACUUAAGUGGGGAUGAGGAUUUCAUUUGUGAAUUCUCGUUGUGUGAGUUUACGUUUGUGAUGAAAGGAUUUAGUGGCCAUAGGAAUGUAUUUUUAUACAAAGGGCUGUGGUUUUGUAGAUUACUACAGUUUUGGGAAAGAUGGAGAUUCGAUGGUUAGGUUAACUGUAAUCGAGAGCAAUUAACUUGCGCUUAAAUUUCGGGACGAAAUUUCUUUAAGGAGGGUAGAUUGUAAUAACCUAGUUUUUUUUAAUCAAACAAUUUGGUGGCAAACACCGGUUCCGUGAUUUAAGGUUAGUGGACAAUUGCAUAAUUUGAAGGCCGGUGCUUUAACAUGAUUAUGCAUGAGUGGAAGAACGAAUCAAUUAAGCUAAGAAACGAAUUCUCUCUCUCUCACGUCCGAAACCACCCAAAACAGAGCAAAACUUCUCCAAACUCUCUCUCACUCCACCGGCCACCAAUCAAGACCAGAACACUUCCUAUAGCUUCGCCUCGACCUUGCGCAGCUGCAGGUGGCAGCCUUGAACCACGACACGGCCACCAGCGGCGGCGGGAAGCUCCGCCCGGUUUGAGCUCGUUUUGGUUCCAAGCUUGAUAUCUCAAGCUACCGGCCAAAAAUCCUCACCAAACUUCACCCACGAGCUCGCCUCAACGUCCUGAAGCUCCCAGAAGUGGCCUUGCACGGCGGCGCUACUCGUGGUGGCGGCUGGAAGCCAGACCCGAUCAAAUCGAAAACCGAAGCUUCGAUCGGUAUAUCUCGAGCUGUAGUGCAUCGUUUUGAUUGAUUCUUUUUCCAGUGGGUUCCCCUUGAUGUUGUUAACAACUCUCUAGAAGGCAUCGAGGCCUGAAAUUGAAGUUUUUACGUCGAUCGGAGCCCUCGCCGGAUUCUGCAAAAUUCUGCAAAUUUUCCGACCACCGAAGCUUUCGAUCGGUAUAUCUCGAGCUACAGACCAUAUUUUUCUGUGAUUCUUGAACCAAUGCGUUCGUCUUGAGUUUCUUAACAACUCUCUAGAAGGAAUCGAAGCCUGAAAUUGAAGUUUUGACGUCGAAAUCAAGCCUUGCCGGAUUCUGCAAAUUUCGCCGGAUUCUGGAAAUUUUCCGGCCACCUCGACUGUUCUAGGUUAUUGACGGUUUGAGUUGGUGGACGAUUGUGGAUCGUAUUUUGAGCUGAAUUGAAGACGCAGCGGGAUUAUCGAGCGGGAAAUCCUACAGGUCAGGAGAACCAGGACGGUGAUCGGGCUGCUUAGAGUAGUGUUAUGUGAAUUACAGCAUUAUAUUGUGAGGUUUGUUAUGCUCAUUUAGAGCUUUGCAAUUUUACUUUGUAAGAGUGAAUUGUAAUAAUUAACUCGAGGUUUUCGAGUUUUUGUGUUGAGUGGCGAGUGGUAUGUUUGUUUGUGAGAAAAAAAUUCAGAACGUUAUUUGUAUUAAUU